CUAUCAGCAGUGCACCCCUAUGAUAUACAAGUCUUCAUUGCCAAGUCAGUCUGCCAAACAGUGUGUACACCCUUCUUGCAUUGGUAGUGACCCACUUUACUGUACUUCAAUGUCAGAGUCUGGAUAUGUCAGGCCAAGGAGAUCAAGUUUUGUGUCCAAGGUUACUUAGGUAAUCUCUAAGAACAAUAGACAGACUCUACAUGUUACUGAUCUGGAGGUUAGUGGCUCAAUCAUUGUGCACUGAUUGUUCGCUGAUGCCUUGAUUCUCCACUGUCACCUUUAUUGCCAUAAAGUUUAUCUAGAGAUCUACAUAUCAAGACUAAAUGGUCAAUUAAACAUGAGGUCAAGGAUAAAGGAUGAACAUUUCAAGGCUACAGGAGGAACAUUAAACGUCUCUCUCACUGUGAAAAGAUUCUACCGAUCUACAAAUGGUCAACAUGUUUUAUCCAAAGUUCAUCUGCCAUUUCUUCAAAUGGAGCCAUAGUACGAAUAAG
Long non-coding RNA from Biomphalaria glabrata, 494 nucleotides. RefSeq lists it as uncharacterized. The transcript is spliced from 3 exons. The record is from RefSeq and is a predicted model, not a curated record. Lineage: Eukaryota; Metazoa; Mollusca; Gastropoda; Planorbidae.